UUUAGGAACUAACACUGUUAUUUGAAGACUAAAUAUGACGGGAUGUAGGAAUGGUUUAAAAGAACCUUUUUCUUGAACAACUUUAGUGAUUCGCCGAAGGAAUUCAUUAAUACACAAGUAAACUUGUCGUCGCGACCCGACACGAUUGUACAUAGGUUGCUCUAUAAGACAGAAUACCAUGAAAAACUCAGCUUGGUGUGUCGUGCUCCAACUGCUGGCUUUUGUAGGAUUUGAAAAAGUUUUAAGAGUGUCAGGCGGAUGGCAGCAUUUGGAAAGUUAUUACCUGGAAACAUCACUACCAUACGAUUUGAUGAACCAGGUGUCGCUGGAUGAGUGCCAAGCGCAGUGUAUUUCAUUAGGCACUGAUUGUCCGGCUAUCAACUACAAACCAAAUGGUCAAAAGUGCCAGAUACUACAACAGAAAGACGGAGAUAACGGGUGUAUAUUGGUAUAUGCACAUAACAGUUUCAGCUAUUACGAGAAAACCAACAGCGAAAACGAUACAGUCGUGACAAGUAAAAAACCUGGCCGUUUUUUCAGAAGAUACGUCGGAUACAAAAUGCCUGCUCACUUGGUGAUCGUCAACGAGACAGUGCUACAACGUACGAUUUGUGCGUUCAACUGCAUGGUGACCCCCCUCUGUAUGUCGUUCAGCAUACAGCCAGAAACGUACGGCUUGUCAUAUUUCUGCGAACUGAACAGUGCACGGAGGAACAACAACGGAUCCAAUCUACUUUCUGAUUCAAGUUUCUACUAUUUUGAGUGAUAUGUAAAAUAUAACAUAUCCUCCACAUGUUCAGAAGGCCGACAAAGCACUACAUAAGUUUGGUGAAGUUUACAGAAAAGGUCGAAAUCCAUUGGAAUUAUCCGACGUCUACCUAACAAUCGAACUGGUGACCGAUUCAAAUAUAAUUAUGAUGUAGCCCCUAUACCACAUAGAAUACCACACCAAAUUGGAAGGGAACAAUGUAUAUACAAUACGAUUUUAUUGGUAGUUUUCAAUUGGAAAAAUACCUCAGUGCCUUGAAUAGCUGAGCGUGAUAAUAAUAAAAUUAGCAUUUAAAGCUGGUAAAAAUGCAAUUUUUCAUGUCAAGGCCUACAUAUAUAAAAUGUCUUACAGAUACAUUAUUACAAGGUUUAAUAUAAACAGUCCAUGACAUUUUGACACUCAGUACCGAAUAUAAAAAUAUGUGUACAAUUCAUUCAAAUUGCGACAGAAUGGCUCAAUUUUUAGUAUCUCUUUAAUAAAACAUAUGCGAAAAAAUUUGUAUCGAUUAUACCGACACAACCAUGUAACAGUUUAAUGCAACAAACCUCGUUUGCAUAUUUUCUUGAAAUCGAGCGACAAUUUAGCUCAGAUAAUUUGGAAAGCAUGAAUUGCUCCCUUUUCACUAUUGUCAUAUUUUGGCAUAUUUCUAUUGAUAUUUAAAAACCCUUUAAUUUGCCAGUUCUUUUGUUUGAGAGAGCAAAGAUUGUGCAAAUACAUAGCGUUUUAAGUGCUUAAAUAUUGCUUUUAAAACGCUACUUCCUGGAGACGAUGAACUCGACAAAAUUCUCUAAAAGAAAGUAAAUAACGGAUUUGUGUUUCAUCGACUUAGCGACUUUCCUUCUAGUAUUAAGCAAAAGACAAUGUAAAAUCCAUUUUCACGAGGAACGCUAUUUAGACGCUGAUUAUCAACAGCCUCUUGAUUUUUUAUUAGACGGGAUAAAAAGAAGUAAAGAUAUAUCCAAAAAGCAUUUUACGCUUCAACAUGAAGACGACGUGCCUGUUUGUUGUUCUUUUGUAUACAGUGAUAGCAUCGAUAUUCAUGCAAAUGACCGUAGGCAGUACCUGUGCGCGAAGCUUUUGUGGGAAAAUGGGGAAAAAAUUCAAGCCAAGCGUCGCGGAUGAAAUUAUGCAAUUUGACAUCGGGAACCGAAUGGAUUGCGCAAUGGCGUGUGCUGACCUUCCCGACUGCCAGUCGUACGGCAUCAAAAAUGUGGGAACACUGCGUUGCACUUUGAACAGGAACAAAGCUGCAGAUGACGGAGAACUUUUGAAUUACCCAAGCGGAAAUUAUGACUACUACCAUCUCUAGAAACCCGCUAGCCGUUCUUAUCUAUAAACAAAGCGACAAUCUACCAAAGUCCGCUGUGUUAACAAAUAACGGCACGUACCUAAUAACACAACAAACAGGACUGAUGGAACGGUCAGGAAAUAAGAGCAGUUAUCAUCCAUUUGUCCACACAAAUUUGUCAAUACAUUGAUUUCAGGCUGGUGGUUAUACGUGAGGCGAAGCCUAGAAACUUUUACCACACCCAUUCACGUAAUCGACUUACUGGUCAUCAAACACGACUUGGAGGACUGGUGGCUGAAUUUGGC
RNAcentral lists this unclassified non-coding RNA (2362 nucleotides) under Lingula anatina. Its description in RNAcentral is "uncharacterized LOC106150931, transcript variant X1". Lineage: Eukaryota; Metazoa; Brachiopoda; Lingulata; Lingulida; Lingulidae. The record is from RNAcentral.